CCACCAUCAAAGCUCUCAAAGAAAAGGAAGCUCGGUGUCAUUUUAAUCACCAUCAAAUCUGAAGAUCGAAGCCACCAUUGAAGAUCUUUGUUUCUGUUUUUUAGAGAGAGAAAGCUAAUGUUUUAGAAGGAGAGACAACAAUUUUCAUGUUGUUCACCUAGACACCAAGAAUACACGCACAAGUGUGUGAGAGAGAAACAGGUGAAAAGAUGUUUUGUGUUCAAGAUGAAGAUGGUUAUCAAGAAGCGAAACCCGCCGAAUGAUUACAACGCAUCAUCAGGUUUUCGUGGUGACGAUGGUGUGUUUUUUGGUUGGCUGCUAUGUGUUAUGAAGAUGGAUGUAGUUGUGAAGACCAUUUUUAGAAGCAUUACAACUAUUGAUAUAAAAUUCAUUUUUAUUUUCAUUGUUAGUACGCCAAUUUUUGGAUGAAUACGAAUGUUGAAUACGGAUGUUAGUAUGCCAAUUUUUGGCUGCAAUUUUU
Long non-coding RNA from Helianthus annuus (common sunflower), 481 nucleotides. RefSeq lists it as uncharacterized. The record is from RefSeq and is a predicted model, not a curated record. NCBI's taxonomy places the organism in Eukaryota, Viridiplantae, Streptophyta, Magnoliopsida, Asterales, Asteraceae. The transcript has 2 exons.